GGCAAGGGGAAAGCUGGAAACUGCGGGGCUGGCAGGACUCAAUGAAUAAUUUAAUCUGGAUUUCAUUCACAAACAGCAGCUCACUCCUAGGGAAAGGACCGGUGCGCUUCCCUAGAUCGGAACUGGAAGAGGGUACUGUAGGUGGAAAGAAGAAGGUUUAACUUUUGAGGAUUUCCUUCAACUCCUGCUUUGGAUUCUCUUCUACAACAAGCACCUAGGAAAUGAUCAGUGGACAAGUCUACAAGACUACUGUAUGUUGAGUCAGAUGUGAAAACACAGUGGUCUCCAAUCCUGGAAACAUUUUCUUCUAAUAAUUGCCACACUUACAUGACUUCAGAUCUAUACAUGGCGGGCUUCUGCAGAGCUCCAGUCCCAUUUCAACCACUGCUGAAUCCAGGCCUUCCUUACCUCCAGUAUCUUCAUGGAACCUUCCAGCCCCACCACGUUCGGCUUGCUCUGCAUUUGGACUUGUCUAGCUCUGUAACCACGUCACUUAGUCACCCAAACUCUGAAGCUCAGGCUGAACCGAACCAGAACCCUGAUCAUCCGGUUUUUAGUCUGGAGUUUUCCUUGUCAACAGCAUGCUGUUUUCCUACUCAAUACAUGCUUUU
Long non-coding RNA from Mustela erminea (ermine), 611 nucleotides. RefSeq lists it as uncharacterized. NCBI's taxonomy places the organism in Eukaryota, Metazoa, Chordata, Mammalia, Carnivora, Mustelidae. The record is from RefSeq and is a predicted model, not a curated record. The transcript is spliced from 5 exons.